RNAcentral lists this ribosomal RNA (275 nucleotides) under uncultured Comamonas sp. Its description in RNAcentral is "partial 16S ribosomal RNA". It matches the Rfam family "Bacterial small subunit ribosomal RNA", at positions 338 to 605 of the family's 1533-position model. Lineage: Bacteria; Pseudomonadati; Pseudomonadota; Betaproteobacteria; Burkholderiales; Comamonadaceae. The record is from RNAcentral.
CCUACGGGGGGCUGCAGUGGGGAAUUUUGGACAAUGGGCGCAAGCCUGAUCCAGCAAUGCCGCGUGCAGGAUGAAGGCCCUCGGGUUGUAAACUGCUUUUGUACGGAACGAAAAGCCUGAGGCUAAUAUCCUCGGGUCAUGACGGUACCGUAAGAAUAAGCACCGGCUAACUACGUGCCAGCAGCCGCGGUAAUACGUAGGGUGCAAGCGUUAAUCGGAAUUACUGGGCGUAAAGCGUGCGCAGGCGGUUUUGUAAGACAGUGGUGAAAUCCCCG